AUGCGGCGACGCAGAGCGGAACCCGAAAACCUGUCUCAGUUCGGAUUGGAGUCUGCAACCCGACUCCAUGAAGCUGGAUUCGCUAGUAAUCGCGCAUCAGCCACGGCGCGGUGAAUACGUUCCCGGGCCUUGUACACACCGCCCGUCAAGCCAUGGAAGCCGGGAGUGCCUGAAGUGCGUGAGCGCAAGCAGCGCCCUAAGGUAAAACCGGUGACUGGGGCUAAGUCGUAACAAGGUACC
This 240-nucleotide ribosomal RNA is filed under the name uncultured bacterium. Its description in RNAcentral is "partial 16S ribosomal RNA". It matches the Rfam family "Bacterial small subunit ribosomal RNA", at positions 1252 to 1500 of the family's 1533-position model. The record is from RNAcentral.